CCAACGGGAGCUGGGCGGAGCCAGCGGCGGAAGUGACGGUGUGCGGUACUGCUCAAAGUUCGCUGGUGCGCGAUUUCUAAGCCGGUUGUGUUUUGUUUAUUUUUUUGUUAUCUAAAGCCGUUAUCUCCAAACAUUUUUUAAAAAAUCCUGAGCAUGCUCAAUAGGAAAUUUUGGGGACCGUCCCCCUCAUCUGUUUGUAUUUAUAAACUAUAAAGAUGAAAGUAUUUUGUAAAACUAGAGGCAACAUGGCACAGGGGAUGGGGAAGCCAGACUUGAAGUCAGAAAGACCUGAGGUCAAGUCCCAGCCCCGACGCUACUGACCCGGUGACCUUGGGCAACACACUUCACCUCUCUGUGGCCUAGGCGACUGGGAAGCCUGUAAAUGACGGGAAAGGGGCCAACCUGCCCUCAUAGAGGGCGAUUUCCUCACCAGCGAGUUCUCCUGUAACAGUGAAAUCAUGGGGCCCGUCCUUGUCGCUGCUGGAGUAACGUUAUAGAACUUUAAAAAAAUAGAAAUUUAAAAAAGAAUUAGAUAAGAUGGAACAUUAGAUAAGAAUGAAAUAUUUCUUGUAAAGACAGAGAAGAAUGUCCUAAUGAGAAGAAGGAUAAUCAAGAGAGUCUAGAAAGUAGAGAAUUGGUGCAGCAAGCAGUGUGUUUUCAGGACUGUCCAAGCUUCAGAAAGAGAAACUGGACCAAUAUUCCUUUCAGGUAGAAGUGUGCUUCAUUAGGUUCUGCUCUAGCCUUGAUAGAGUGGCCCUCAAGGCAAUUUUCUACUCUCUCUUCUGUUUCCACAUUCACUAAGCAACCACCUGGUUACUGAUUCAUUUCAUUAGGUACCUGGACACAAGACAUGUGGUGCCUUGGUGGACGCUGUACCUCAAUUAAUUGUUCUGCCACAGUUAAUCAGGGGAAAAUAAUGAAAAAAGGCAAAAAUUACCAAGGAUCUCAGGAGAGGUCUGUCAUCUGGGGUGCUGCUAGGACUCUGAUGAAAAAGUCCACAUCAUAUGGCUUCUCCCACAGACACAAAGGCUUCCUCUGUCAAGGAGGGAGAGGCUAAGCAAUAUUAUAAGAAGAGAAGAUGGGCUGAUCACGUAAGAGCAGAGGCAUUCCAUUCACAUUCUCAUGAUGGGAGAAGAAUGUUAGAAGUCCCUCAGCAUUUAAGGUGGACCCUCUAUGGCAAAGUUAUGAAAGGACAUGGACAAGAAUUGCAUAGGCUGGGCAGGUAGAGACUGGUUGUGAUUUGCAUCAUUGGAGAAAACAUCUAGACCAAUGAGAUGAUAUCCAUUUGAGUAUGUUCAUAUGCCACAACUUGUUCAGCCUUGCCUCUCAUUGAUGGGUGCCUCAUCUGAUACCAAUUUUUUGCUACCACAAAAACAUUGCUGCUCUAAAUAGUUGUGUAUUUAUGAGACUUUUCUCUCUGGCUUUCACUUUCCAUAUCCAAGAUUUAAAAGCUCUAGAAAACUUAUUAUCUCUGCUUCAAAUAUAUUCAUUUGAUUCAUCUGAUAGCAAAAUAAGGCUUCCAGUGGCUUGAAACAAAUACAUUUCUUUAUAUAGUUUCUGUUUCCAGAUGUCAAUAAGGAUAAAAGGUCUGAGAGCUAGUCAGAGAAGAAGUUCUUUCAUACAGAUCAUUUUCCAGUUCUCACUGGCUUGGAGGAAAUUGACAAGGGCUCCUUUUUCCCGCUGUAGGAGAUGAAGGAGACAACUUUGGAGGUGGAGAAUAGCAGAGGUGUGGGACUAGCAGGGGGAUAGGAAAGAACCCUCACUGAGGUCCUUGUGUUGAAUUUUCUUAGUUCAGAGUUGAGCAAGGGUCAAAUAGCUGCUGCUCUUCUGACCAAGAAAGAGCUCUGGGCACCAGGGACUAGCAGUGCAGAGAAGGGACAAUCCAGACAUUGUGUUUGUUGGUUUAACUGAUGAAGAAUAGGCUUGUGUGUCACGGUGUCUGUCCUGAAAGAAUUCACUCUGUCUUCAAGUUAAUAAAGGCAUUUAGUGGGGUGACUGCCCAGCAAGCUCUGUUUCUUAUGAGAGGCCAGAGCAGUGAGCCAGAUUGUAUGUCUGGUCUAUAAACAGUUUGAUGGGAUAGAGGGAUGGGGGGUGCUACUACAGUUUAAGAAAAUGGGAAGGGGCAUUGGAGAGGGGAGGAAGAGGAGGAGGAGGAGCAGCAGCAGUUACUCUGGAGUGUCUGAAUGUCAGCUAGUCAGAGGUGCUUUGUGAAUGCAUACAGAUAAUAUAUAGUCUUACUGAUCACUUUUUAGCUGGUCCCACCUUGAAUCUUAUCUCAUAUCUCAUCUUCUGCAUCCCGUUUGCCCCGUCUCCUGGAACACUCCUUUCUAAAACUACUUAGCUACCACUGUUCUUUCCUGGGAACUGAGAAGCACCUGCUUCUUAUCUGCCUUUCUCUACUUUCUACUUAAUCACCCUUGUAGUAAAGAAUAGGGUGGAGAGGAUGGAAAGAUGGCGGAAUUGAGAUCUGUUACAUCUUCAAGCAGUAUUUUCAGUUUCUUUUUGUAUAUUUCAAUAUGCAUAAAAACAUAUAGCUACCCACUUCUAGGGCUAUAUCCCAAAGAGAUCAUACAAAUGGGAAAAGGACCCACAUGUAU
Phascolarctos cinereus (koala) is the source of this 2597-nucleotide non-coding RNA. Lineage: Eukaryota; Metazoa; Chordata; Mammalia; Diprotodontia; Phascolarctidae. The record is from RefSeq and is a predicted model, not a curated record.